UUUUUUUUUUUUUUUUUUUUUUUUUUCGUCUUUUUAGGGCUGCACUCACAGCACACGGAGGUUUCCAGACUAGGGGUUUAAUCAGAGCUGUAGCUGCUGGCCUACACCACAGCCACAGCAACACCAGACCAAGCCUUGUCUGUGACCUACACCACAGCUCCUGGCAAUGCUGGAUCCUUGACACACUGAGUGGGGCCAGGGAUUGAACCUGCAUCCUCAUGGAUACUAGUCAGAUUCUUUUCCACUGAGCCACGACAGAAACUCUAGCAUUGUGUUUCUGUUUUCCCUCUCUGUUUGACCAGAUUCCAUUGAGCAGGGACUUUUAAAUAAAUCUGCAUCCAAAUAUAUCACAGAUUUCAUUUGAUAAGAAGAAACCAAGCAAAAGAGAAUGAAUGUAUUUUAACAGUUAUGUUUUAUCCAUUACAGUUUAAAGUUGUAUUAACAAAAUUAGCUUUAUUUGAGUAAUUGAUCUUCAUUAAGUACUAUUCUCCAUCAACAUUUUAAGAACUUAGGAAUUCCUAUUGUGGCUCAGUGGUAAUGAACCCAACUAGUAUCCAUGAAGAUGCAGGUUUGAUCUCUGGCCUCGCUCAGUGGGUUAAGAAUCUGGAAUUGCAGUGAGCUGUAGCGUAGGCUGCAGACGCAGCUUGGAUACCCAGAACCCACGUUGCAGACCCACCUAAGAAGUUAUCACAUCGAUGGUCCUGUUGCCAGUAAAGUUCCCUGUGAUUUAAAUUGGAAACAUUUCCACUCAUGGCAGAUAAUUUUUUAACUAGGACACAAUGGAAAAUUAGAAGAUUAUCACCAAUGGCAUUUUGUAAUAGUUCCUUAUCCUGGAUUUCUAUCUAUUUCACAUGGCCUUCAGUGACAUAGCUUCUCUCUUAAAUUACUAAAGCUUUCCCAUGAUUUGUCAAUCAUACUCAUACUGGAACUGGCUAGACUAGAUGUGGCAAUAAGUGGAUUUUCCAGGAUUUUUCAGAAGAAAUUAAAAUAUAUAUUUUCAUAUGAAUGCUAAAAAUCACCAAUUAAUAUUGAAAGUCAGUUUUCUUUCUUAAAAAUAUAUAAAUGCUUUUUGGAAUAAAAAUUCUGGAAGUUUACUAGAUUAAAAUUGACAGUUCAAUUCAGAGAAUAAAAACAAAUGACAUCCUACAGAUUCAAAAACUGUUUACUAAUCAUUUGAAAUUUCAUUCCUCUUUUUAAUGUAUUCUGAGAAUACUGAAGCAAUCAGCAUUAACUUAUUGUAAGGAUAGCUUAGGAGGCAACAGAAAUCCUCUUUGGAAGACUGAAAUCAGACAAGGUGGGAACAGCUGACAGAGCACUACUGGCACACUUUGUUUAUAGAAAUAACAGGUAAGGUGCCCUCUAAUCAGAGUAAAGUCAUCCCAGUUUUUCAUUCCAAAAUUCCAGAUUUACUUCCGAACUAACCCUAUAUGGGGCUGAAAAACUGGAUAUAUCCACCUCCAGCAGUAAAUUACCUGACAUGUGAACAUAUAACAUGUGCCUUUAAAUAUAGCACUAAAUUACCCAUCUUCCAUAGAGAUAGAAUGGACUCUGAUUCACAGAGCAGGUAACAAACCUAGGGCUCUCAAUCAUGGCUGAAGGAAUUUACGUGCACUGCAGACAUUAACUCUCUGUAGAAGGUCAUCGCUUCACAGCCUGGGAAAUAAUCCCUGCCAGCUGAUUUGCAAAGUGCCUGAGGCAUCGCUCCUGAGAGGCAUAACUCCUCUUCUUUCAAGGCUAGAGGUCAGAGCCAUGAUCACAGCUCAGUCAAAUUUAAAGGAAAAAGUAUCUGGGGUCAAAAAUAUCCUAAGGAAAAAUAGAAGACUAAAACUAAAAAAAAUAUAUUGUGUUCCCCUGGGCUUUAGAAUGAUGAUGGAAAAACCUGUUGCAGAAUAUUAAACUUAGAUUUUUUUCAUCUGAUAGCUUCAAAAUAACUAAACUAAACUGAAUACAGAAUCUGAUGAAUGUCAUGCUGCAAUCAGUUUUGAGGACAUUUUUAAAUGCUACAAAUCCAUUUAAAUCCUCAUCAGCCUAGACAUUCUAAAAAGUAAAAUAAAAUCAAGUUUAAGUGACUUAAACAUGAAAUGUGAGCAGCGGCUCAAUGAUUAAAUUACUGCAUCAAUUAACUUGAGUACACAGAAAGAAGGCUGCUCUUUCAAGCAAUGUUAAUUCUGCCUCUGAUCAGACAAGACUCCUCCUCACAUCAUGGUUGCUGCUUCAUAAAACACAACUCAUGCAGCAAAAAGGGAAAGAUGAUUUGUAAAUAAGAAAAGACUACUGUAUGAGAAUUCUUUACAAAAUACAUAAACUAAAUUGAUGUUUAUGUGAAAAAUACAGUCAUUUCCAUAUACUUCUAACAAUGGAAAACUCUAAAAAUUGUUUUUGAAAAUCAUAAGACAAAUGAAAUCACCAUUAAACUCAACGAGAGUGACUUGGUACCCAUAAAAAUCAUAAAUGAGCACAUUUAAAGAUUAAAGCCAUUUUUGGAUGUACACAUCACAAAGGGUAAAGUGUUUUAUUUUGGUCAUCUCUUCCAACUGCUAUUACAUGCUGUCAUUUUCAGUAAGAGAAAUGUAUUUGCAAAAGCAGAGUGAGCACAAGAGGCCUUAAAUCAGACAAGCUGGGGACCGUUGAUGGAGCACUGACUGCACACUGCCUACCAAGGCCCUUGAAUAUCAGGAUUUUAUGCUGUGUUUUUCUGACUUAUCUGACACAUAGUGGAUUCUUAAAUACCUCCUUAAAAUCUGGACUACUAACCUACUUUUACCUCUAAGUUUGCUCCUGCUCUUUUAAGGGUCUAAGUUCUUCCCAGAAAAGGAGGAAAGGAAGAAGCCCUGACAAACAUAUUCUGUCCUUCCAUUGUUCCUGGCCCUUUAAAACCCAGUUCAGAAGUCACCUCAUCACUGUUUUCUGUAUUAUUCAGAACAGAUUUGUUAUGGUAAGGUAGCUAUUUAACUUCGAAAUCUCAGGGGCUCACACCAAAAAAAAAUUUAUUGCUUGCUUAUACGAAGUCCACUGCAAAUCUGGCAGCUCUCCACACACAGUAGCUCCCUCCCUACUGUUAAUGCCAGUCCUAUAUCCUAGUGAAUUAGGCAUCUUAACAAGCCACACCCAUGUUUCCAAGUUUCUUCUUUCUUUUUUUUCUGCUUUUUGGGGCUUAUGGAAGUUCCCAUGCUAGGGGUUGAAUCUGAGCCACAGCAACACAGGAUACAAGCCACAUCUACAUGCCAAUCAAAAUUUCAGGCACUGAACUGCAAUAACAAUGAUUCUAACAUACACAACAAAAAAACAGCAUGUUCUAAAAUGAGUGACAAUGGUGAUUUAUUUAAUGAUGGUUAAUGAUUUUUCUCAAGUUAUACAAAGGAAGCUAUAUACCAUACAAUAUAAGUUAUGAAUUGAAAGGGGGAAGAAAAUCCUUGCCAUAGUUUAGCUUUGUCCAGAAGCAAACCCUGUGCAAGGAUUCACAUGCAAUUGGUUAUCUAGGAGGAAAUGAGACAGGGAAGGAAAGGCAGGCAAAAAAGGGCAGGUUAUUAAUUAAGUGUAAACUGUGGGUAAAAAGAACCAAAUUCCACUGGAGGAAUCUGGCAGCCAGUCUAGAUAGUGUAGUCAGUGUAUUCAAAGAGUGAGAAAGGCUGAGGUAUUUAUACAUUCACUACAUCAGUCAUUAGCUGAAAGGGUUGCUCCCAGGCAGUACUACUUAUCUGGCAUUGCUGAUUUGUGGAGCAGGAUGACAAGGAGGGCUCUGGUGGCCAGAAAUAGCCCUCAGGCAAAGAAAUACAGCUGCUCAAAAUUGGAAGAAGGGCAAGCAUACACUUAAGUGGCAAGAACAAUGAAUGCUGGUGGUAAAAAAAUAAUCAUAUGGUCAGAAAUGUCCUAGAAGAAUCACAAGAAGAGGGACUUGAGCUAGGAUUUCAGAAACGGGUUGGAUUGGGUUAAGGAAUAACAUUUAAGUUAGGAAAAGUGGCAUGAGCAAAAGUACUGAGGUAAGAAAGAAUAAGAGGUAUCCUAUGUCAGUUAUAAGCCAGUUUCAAAGGAUUAGAGAGAUAUUUUACACAGAAUAUUCUUGGGAAAAUAUGGCAAAUAUAUAUAUAUAUAUUGGGUCUAUAUUAGGGAUGGUAUCUAAUGUUAGGCUAAAGAAUUCUUUUGCUCUUAAGUUUUGAGUAACCUCUAAGUUUCUGCAUGGAGAAACAAUAAAAUGAAAAUAUUAUGGCAUUAAUAUCUUUGUUGGCACCAUUACUGUCCUUGGACUAUGAAUCCCUAUUGGAUAGGAUCUGUAUAUAUUCAAAUUCCCUAAAAAAAGGUUUACAUUCAGGAGUUCCCAUUGCAGCUCAGUGGAAAUGAAUAUGACAAGUAUCCAUGAGGAUGCAGGUUGGGUCCCUGGCCUUGCUAAGUGGGUCAAGGAUCCUGCGUUGCAGCGAGCUGUGGUAUAGGGCACAGAUGUGACCUGGAUCCCAUGUUGCUGUGGCUGUGGCUUAGGUCAGCAGCUGUAGCUCUGAUUCAACCCCUAGUCUGGGAACUUCCAUAUGCUGCAGGAGCAGCCAU
This 4539-nucleotide long non-coding RNA is filed under the name Sus scrofa (pig). RNAcentral's name for it is "lncRNA (ENSSSCG00000053824.1)". The record is from RNAcentral. Lineage: Eukaryota; Metazoa; Chordata; Mammalia; Artiodactyla; Suidae.